GAUGAACGCUGGCGGCGUGCCUAAUACAUGCAAGUCGAGCGAACAGAUGAGGAGCUUGCUCCUCUGACGUUAGCGGCGGACGGGUGAGUAACACGUGGAUAACCUACCUAUAAGACUGGGAUAACUUCGGGAAACCGGAGCUAAUACCGGAUAAUCUAUUGAACCGCAUGGUUCAAUAGUGAAAGACGGUUUUGCUGUCACUUAUAGAUGGAUCCGCGCCGCAUUAGCUAGUUGGUAAGGUAACGGCUUACCAAGGCAACGAUGCGUAGCCGACCUGAGAGGGUGAUCGGCCACACUGGAACUGAGACACGGUCCAGACUCCGACGGGAGGCAGCAGUAGGGAAUCUUCCGCAAUGGGCGAAAGCCUGACGGAGCAACGCCGCGUGAGUGAUGAAGGUCUUCGGAUCGUAAAACUCUGUUAUUAGGGAAGAACAAAUGUGUAAGUAACUAUGCACGUCUUGACGGUACCUAAUCAGAAAGCCACGGCUAACUACGUG
Molecule: ribosomal RNA, 497 nt
Filed under: uncultured bacterium
Lineage: Bacteria
Description: partial 16S ribosomal RNA
Rfam family: Bacterial small subunit ribosomal RNA
Source: RNAcentral